This 301-nucleotide ribosomal RNA is filed under the name uncultured bacterium. Its description in RNAcentral is "partial 16S ribosomal RNA". It matches the Rfam family "Bacterial small subunit ribosomal RNA", at positions 509 to 807 of the family's 1533-position model. The record is from RNAcentral.
CAGCCGCCGCGGGAAUACGUAGGUGGCAAGCGUUGUCCGGAAUUAUUGGGCGUAAAGGGCUCGCAGGCGGUUUCUUAAGCCUGAUGUGAAAGCCCCCGACUCAACCGGGGAGGGUCAUUGGAAACUGGGAAACUUGAGUGCAGAAGAGGAGAGUGGAAUUCCACGUGUAGCGGUGAAAUGCGUAGAGAUGUGGAGGAACACCAGUGGCGAAGGCGACUCUCUGGUCUGCAACUGACGCUGAGGAGCGAAAGCGUGGGGAGCGAACAGGAUUAGAUACCCCGGUAGUCCCUGUCUCUUAUAC